UCGGCUUAGAGUUUGAUCAUGGCUCAGGACGAACGCUGGCGGCGUGCCUAAUACAUGCAAGUCGAACGCACCGAAGCUUGCUUUGGUGAGUGGCGGACGGGUGAGUAACACGUGGGUAACCUGCCUAUCACAGGGGGAUAACACUUGGAAACAGGUGCUAAUACCGCAUAGAUUUUUUUCGCAUGAACGAAAAGGAAAGACGUUCGUGUCACUGAUAGAUGGACCCGCGGUGCAUUAGCUAGAUGGUGAGGUAACGGCUCACCAUGGCGAUGAUGCAUAGCCGACCUGAGAGGGUGAUCGGCCACACUGGGACUGAGACACGGCCCAGACUCCUACGGGAGGCAGCAGUAGGGAAUCUUCGGCAAUGGACGAAAGUCUGACCGAGCAACGCCGCGUGAGUGAAGAAGGUUUUCGGAUCGUAAAACUCUGUUGUUAGAGAAGAACGAGUGGGAGGUAAUUCCCGCUGUGACGGUAUCUAACCAGAAAGCCACGGCUAACUACGUGCCAGCAGCCGCGGUAAUACGUAGGUGGCAAGCGUUGUCCGGAUUUAUUGGGCGUAAAGCGAGCGCAGCGGUUUCUUAAGUCUGAUGUGAAAGCCCCCGG
RNAcentral lists this ribosomal RNA (603 nucleotides) under uncultured Vagococcus sp. RNAcentral's name for it is "bacterial SSU rRNA". It matches the Rfam family "Bacterial small subunit ribosomal RNA", at positions 1 to 607 of the family's 1533-position model. The record is from RNAcentral. Lineage: Bacteria; Bacillati; Bacillota; Bacilli; Lactobacillales; Enterococcaceae.